UUUCCUCGAGUCGUUGAUUUCACACUGCCAAGAAAAGCCUCUAGAUAGAUAACAGGUGCCCGUACCGCAAACCGACACAGGUAGUCAAGAUGAGAAUUCUAAGGUGAGCGAGCGAACUCUCGUUAAGGAACUCGGCAAAAUGACCCCGUAACUUCGGGAGAAGGGGUGCUCUUUAGGGUUAACGCCCAGAAGAGCCGCAGUGAAUAGGCCCAAGCGACUGUUUAUCAAAAACACAGGUCUCUGCUAAACCGUAAGGUGAUGUAUAGGGGCUGACGCCUGCCCGGUGCUGGAAGGUUAAGAGGAGUAGUUAGCUUCUGCGAAGCUACGAAUCGAAGCCCCAGUAAACGGCGGCCGUAACUAUAACGGUCCUAAGGUAGCGAAAUUCCUUGUCGGGUAAGUUCCGACCCGCACGAAAGGCGUAACGAUUUGGGCACUGUCUCAACGAGAGACUCGGUGAAAUCAUAGUACCUGUGAAGAUGCAGGUUACCCGCGACAGGACGGAAAGACCCCGUGGAGCUUUACUGUAGCCUGAUAUUGAAAUUCGGCACAGCUUGUACAGGAUAGGUAGGAGCCUUUGAAACGUGAGCGCUAGCUUACGUGGAGGCAUUGGUGGGAUACUACCCUAGCUGUGUUGGCUUUCUAACCCGCACCACUUAUCGUGGUGGGAGACAGUGUCAGGUGGGCAGUUUGACUGGGGCGGUCGCCUCCUAAAAGGUAACGGAGGCGCUCAAAGGUUCCCUCAGAAUGGUUGGAAAUCAUUCAUAGAGUGUAAAGGCAUAAGGGAGCUUGACUGCGAGACUUACAAGUCGAGCAGGGUCGAAAGACGGACUUAGUGAUCCGGUGGUUCCGCAUGGAAGGGCCAUCGCUCAACGGAUAAAAGCUACCCCGGGGAUAACAGGCUUAUCUCCCCCAAGAGUUCACAUCGACGGGGAGGUUUGGCACCUCGAUGUCGGCUCAUCGCAUCCUGGGGCUGUAGUCGGUCCCAAGGGUUGGGCUGUUCGCCCAUUAAAGCGGUACGCGAGCUGGGUUCAGAACGUCGUGAGACAGUUCGGUCCCUAUCCGUCGUGGGCGUAGGAAAUUUGAGAGGAGCUGUCCUUAGUACGAGAGGACCGGGAUGGACAUACCUCUGGUGUACCAGUUGUCGUGCCAACGGCAUAGCUGGGUAGCUAUGUAUGGACGGGAUAAGUGCUGAAAGCAUCUAAGCAUGAAGCCCCCCUCAAGAUGAGAUUUCCCAACUUCGGUUAUAAGAUCCCUCAAAGAUGAUGAGGUUAAUAGGUUCGAGGUGGAAGCGUGGUGACACGUGGAGCUGACGAAUACUAAUCGAUCGAAGACUUAAUCAAAAUU
RNAcentral lists this ribosomal RNA (1344 nucleotides) under Staphylococcus warneri. RNAcentral's name for it is "partial 23S ribosomal RNA". It matches the Rfam family "Bacterial large subunit ribosomal RNA", at positions 1581 to 2925 of the family's 2925-position model. The record is from RNAcentral. Lineage: Bacteria; Bacillati; Bacillota; Bacilli; Caryophanales; Staphylococcaceae.